RNAcentral lists this ribosomal RNA (206 nucleotides) under uncultured bacterium. RNAcentral describes it as "partial 16S ribosomal RNA". It matches the Rfam family "Bacterial small subunit ribosomal RNA", at positions 568 to 774 of the family's 1533-position model. The record is from RNAcentral.
GGCGUAGGCGGCCUUUCAAGUCGGAUGUGAAAUCUCCCGGCUCAACCGGGAGGGGUCAUCCGAUACUGCUGGCUAGAGGACAGCAAGGGAAGGUAGAAUUCCCGGUGUAGUGGUGGAAUGCGUAGAUAUCGGGAGGAAUACCAGUGGCGAAGGCGGCCUUCUGGGCUGUUUCUGACGCUGAGGCCCGAAAGUGUGGGGAGCGAACA